RNAcentral lists this ribosomal RNA (106 nucleotides) under Acanthosepion pharaonis. The record is from RNAcentral. Lineage: Eukaryota; Metazoa; Mollusca; Cephalopoda; Sepiida; Sepiidae.
UAUCAUGUUGAAACACCGGUUCCCGUACGAUCACCGAAAGUUAAGCAACGUCGAGCCUGGUCAGUACCUAGAUGGGUGACCGCUUGGGAAUACCAGGUGCUGUAAG